This 276-nucleotide unclassified non-coding RNA is filed under the name Hevea brasiliensis (rubber tree). Lineage: Eukaryota; Viridiplantae; Streptophyta; Magnoliopsida; Malpighiales; Euphorbiaceae. The record is from RNAcentral.
CGAGAAUGUUCACCUAAAAUGGCUCAAUAUGAGGAUCCCAGCACUUGGGCGUCAUAACAGAACAAAAUCCAGGUCCGGCCCAACUCCAAAGAGACAGAGCUUUUAGCUAGGUUUUGCUGCAACCGAGAGAGAUUCUUCCUGCCAAGUGCUUCCCUAUAAAUCUUUAAAAACCCUAAUGCCUUUGUUUUAGCAGAUCCUCCAUUUCUCGUAGCCGCUCAAACACCGUCUUUAACCAAAGAGGUCAAAAUGACAACCCGAUUCAAGAAGAACCGGAAG